UUAAGUUAUUAAGGGCGCACGGUGGAUGCCUUGGCACUAGAAGCCGAUGAAGGACGUUACUAACGACGAUAUGCUUUGGGGAGCUGUAAGUAAGCUUUGAUCCAGAGAUUUCCGAAUGGGGAAACCCAGCAUGAGUUAUGUCAUGUUAUCGAUAUGUGAAUACAUAGCAUAUCAGAAGGCACACCCGGAGAACUGAAACAUCUUAGUACCCGGAGGAAGAGAAAGAAAAUUCGAUUCCCUUAGUAGCGGCGAGCGAAACGGGAAGAGCCCAAACCAACAAGCUUGCUUGUUGGGGUUGUAGGACACUCUAUACGGAGUUACAAAGGACGACAUUAGACGAAUCAUCUGGAAAGAUGAAUCAAAGAAGGUAAUAAUCCUGUAGUCGAAAAUGUUGUCUCUCUUGAGUGGAUCCUGAGUACGACGGAGCACGUGAAAUUCCGUUGGAAUCUGGGAGGACCAUCUCCUAAGGCUAAAUACUCUCUAGUGACCGAUAGUGAACCAGUACCGUGAGGGAAAGGUGAAAAGCACCCCGGAAGGGGAGUGAAAUAGAACCUGAAACCGUGUGCUUACAAGUAGUCAGAGCCCGUUAAUGGGUGAUGGCGUGCCUUUUGUAGAAUGAACCGGCGAGUUACGAUUUGAUGCAAGGUUAAGCAGUAAAUGUGGAGCCGUAGCGAAAGCGAGUCUGAAUAGGGCGUUUAGUAUUUGGUCGUAGACCCGAAACCAGGUGAUCUACCCUUGGUCAGGUUGAAGUUCAGGUAACACUGAAUGGAGGACCGAACCGACUUACGUUGAAAAGUGAGCGGAUGAACUGAGGGUAGCGGAGAAAUUCCAAUCGAACCUGGAGAUAGCUGGUUCUCUCCGAAAUAGCUUUAGGGCUAGCCUCAAGUGAUGAUUAUUGGAGGUAGAGCACUGUUUGGACGAGGGGCCCCUCUCGGGUUACCGAAUUCAGACAAACUCCGAAUGCCAAUUAAUUUAACUUGGGAGUCAGAACAUGGGUGAUAAGGUCCGUGUUCGAAAGGGAAACAGCCCAGACCACCAGCUAAGGUCCCAAAAUAUAUGUUAAGUGGAAAAGGAUGUGGCGUUGCCCAGACAACUAGGAUGUUGGCUUAGAAGCAGCCAUCAUUUAAAGAGUGCGUAAUAGCUCACUAGUCGAGUGACACUGCGCCGAAAAUGUACCGGGGCUAAACAUAUUACCGAAGCUGUGGAUUGUCCUUUGGACAAUGGUAGGAGAGCGUUCUAAGGGCGUUGAAGCAUGAUCGUAAGGACAUGUGGAGCGCUUAGAAGUGAGAAUGCCGGUGUGAGUAGCGAAAGACGGGUGAGAAUCCCGUCCACCGAUUGACUAAGGUUUCCAGAGGAAGGCUCGUCCGCUCUGGGUUAGUCGGGUCCUAAGCUGAGGCCGACAGGCGUAGGCGAUGGAUAACAGGUUGAUAUUCCUGUACCACCUAUAAUCGUUUUAAUCGAUGGGGGGACGCAGUAGGAUAGGCGAAGCGUGCGAUUGGAUUGCACGUCUAAGCAGUAAGGCUGAGUAUUAGGCAAAUCCGGUACUCGUUAAGGCUGAGCUGUGAUGGGGAGAAGACAUUGUGUCUUCGAGUCGUUGAUUUCACACUGCCGAGAAAAGCCUCUAGAUAGAAAAUAGGUGCCCGUACCGCAAACCGACACAGGUAGUCAAGAUGAGAAUUCUAAGGUGAGCGAGCGAACUCUCGUUAAGGAACUCGGCAAAAUGACCCCGUAACUUCGGGAGAAGGGGUGCUCUUUAGGGUUAACGCCCAGAAGAGCCGCAGUGAAUAGGCCCAAGCGACUGUUUAUCAAAAACACAGGUCUCUGCUAAACCGUAAGGUGAUGUAUAGGGGCUGACGCCUGCCCGGUGCUGGAAGGUUAAGAGGAGUGGUUAGCUUCUGCGAAGCUACGAAUCGAAGCCCCAGUAAACGGCGGCCGUAACUAUAACGGUCCUAAGGUAGCGAAAUUCCUUGUCGGGUAAGUUCCGACCCGCACGAAAGGCGUAACGAUUUGGGCACUGUCUCAACGAGAGACUCGGUGAAAUCAUAGUACCUGUGAAGAUGCAGGUUACCCGCGACAGGACGGAAAGACCCCGUGGAGCU
Molecule: ribosomal RNA, 2099 nt
Filed under: Staphylococcus aureus VET0055R
Lineage: Bacteria; Bacillati; Bacillota; Bacilli; Caryophanales; Staphylococcaceae
Description: bacterial LSU rRNA
Rfam family: Bacterial large subunit ribosomal RNA
Source: RNAcentral